RNAcentral lists this ribosomal RNA (492 nucleotides) under uncultured bacterium. RNAcentral describes it as "partial 16S ribosomal RNA". It matches the Rfam family "Bacterial small subunit ribosomal RNA", at positions 29 to 507 of the family's 1533-position model. The record is from RNAcentral.
AGUGAACGCUGGCGGUAGGCCUAACACAUGCAAGUCGAACGGCAGCACAGUAAGAGCUUGCUCUUACGGGUGGCGAGUGGCGGACGGGUGAGGAAUACAUCGGAAUCUACUUUUUCGUGGGGGAUAACGUAGGGAAACUUACUCUAAUACCGCAUACGACCUACGGGUGAAAGCAGUGGAUCUUCGCACCUUGCGCGAUUGAAUUAGCCGAUGUCGGAUUAGCUAGUUGGCGGGGUAAAGGCCCACCAAGGCGACGAUCCGUAGCUGGUCUGAGAGGAUGAUCAGCCACACUGGAACUGAGACACGGUCCAGACUCCUACGGGAGGCAGCAGUGGGGAAUAUUGGACAAUGGGCGCAAGCCUGAUACAGCCAUACCGAGUGGGUGAAGAAGGCCUUCGGGUUGUAAAGCCCUUUUGUUGGGAAAGAAAAGCAGCAGGUUAAUACCCCGCUGUUCUGACGGUACCCAAAGAAUAAGCACCGGCUAACUUCGUG